This 1354-nucleotide ribosomal RNA is filed under the name Acinetobacter baumannii. RNAcentral's name for it is "partial 23S ribosomal RNA". It matches the Rfam family "Bacterial large subunit ribosomal RNA", at positions 1 to 1368 of the family's 2925-position model. Lineage: Bacteria; Pseudomonadati; Pseudomonadota; Gammaproteobacteria; Moraxellales; Moraxellaceae. The record is from RNAcentral.
GUUGUAUAGUCAAGUAAUUAAGUGCAUGUGGUGGAUGCCUUGGCAGUCAGAGGCGAUGAAAGACGUGAUAGCCUGCGAAAAGCUCCGGGGAGGCGGCAAAUAUCCUUUGAUCCGGAGAUGUCUGAAUGGGGGAACCCACCUACUUUAAGGUAGGUAUUGCAACAUGAAUACAUAGUGUUGCAAGGCGAACGAGGGGAAGUGAAACAUCUCAGUACCCUUAGGAAAAGAAAUCAAUUGAGAUUCCCUCAGUAGCGGCGAGCGAACGGGGAUCAGCCCAUUAAGUUAUGUGUGUUUUAGUGGAACGCUCUGGGAAGUGCGAACGUAGAGGGUGAUAUUCCCGUACACGAAAGGGCACACAUAAUGAUGACGAGUAGGGCGAGGCACGUGAAACCUUGUCUGAAUAUGGGGGGACCAUCCUCCAAGGCUAAAUACUCCUGACUGACCGAUAGUGAACCAGUACCGUGAGGGAAAGGCGAAAAGAACCCCUGUGAGGGGAGUGAAAUAGAUCCUGAAACCGCAUGCAUACAAGCAGUGGGAGCACCUUCGUGGUGUGACUGCGUACCUUUUGUAUAAUGGGUCAGCGACUUAUAUUCAGUAGCAAGGUUAACCGUAUAGGGGAGCCGUAGAGAAAUCGAGUCUUAAUAGGGCGUUUAGUUGCUGGGUAUAGACCCGAAACCAGGCGAUCUAUCCAUGAGCAGGUUGAAGGUUGGGUAACACUAACUGGAGGACCGAACCCACUGUCGUUGAAAAGCCAGGGGAUGACUUGUGGAUAGGGGUGAAAGGCUAAUCAAGCCUGGUGAUAGCUGGUUCUCCCCGAAAGCUAUUUAGGUAGCGCCUCGGACGAAUACCAUAGGGGGUAGAGCACUGUUUCGGCUAGGGGGUCAUCCCGACUUACCAAACCGAUGCAAACUCCGAAUACCUAUGAGUACUAUCCGGGAGACAGACUGCGGGUGCUAACGUCCGUAGUCAAGAGGAAAACAAUCCAGACCGCCAGCUAAGGCCCCAAAAUCAUAGUUAAGUGGGAAACGAUGUGGGAAGGCAUAGACAGCUAGGAGGUUGGCUUANNNNNNNNNNNNNNNNNNNNNNNNNNNNNNNGAAGCAGCCACCCUUUAAAGAAAGCGUAAUAGCUCACUAGUCGAGUCGGCCUGCGCGGAAGAUGUAACGGGGCUAAAACUAUGUGCCGAAGCUGCGGAUGUAUACUUUGUAUACGUGGUAGGGGAGCGUUCUGUAAGCCGAUGAAGGUGUGUUGAGAAGCAUGCUGGAGGUAUCAGAAGUGCGAAUGCUGACGUGAGUAACGACAAAACGGGUGAAAAACCCGUUCGCCGAAAGACCAAGGGUUCCAGUCCAACGUUAA